RNAcentral lists this ribosomal RNA (824 nucleotides) under Bacillus sp. LMR344. RNAcentral describes it as "bacterial SSU rRNA". It matches the Rfam family "Bacterial small subunit ribosomal RNA", at positions 68 to 873 of the family's 1533-position model. The record is from RNAcentral. Lineage: Bacteria; Bacillati; Bacillota; Bacilli; Caryophanales; Bacillaceae.
GGACAGAUGGGAGCUUGCUCCCUGAUGUUAGCGGCGGACGGGUGAGUAACACGUGGGUAACCUGCCUGUAAGACUGGGAUAACUCCGGGAAACCGGGGCUAAUACCGGAUGGUUGUUUGAACCGCAUGGUUCAAACAUAAAAGGUGGCUUCGGCUACCACUUACAGAUGGACCCGCGGCGCAUUAGCUAGUUGGUGAGGUAAUGGCUCACCAAGGCAACGAUGCGUAGCCGACCUGAGAGGGUGAUCGGCCACACUGGGACUGAGACACGGCCCAGACUCCUACGGGAGGCAGCAGUAGGGAAUCUUCCGCAAUGGACGAAAGUCUGACGGAGCAACGCCGCGUGAGUGAUGAAGGUUUUCGGAUCGUAAAGCUCUGUUGUUAGGGAAGAACAAGUACCGUUCGAAUAGGGCGGUACCUUGACGGUACCUAACCAGAAAGCCACGGCUAACUACGUGCCAGCAGCCGCGGUAAUACGUAGGUGGCAAGCGUUGUCCGGAAUUAUUGGGCGUAAAGGGCUCGCAGGCGGUUUCUUAAGUCUGAUGUGAAAGCCCCCGGCUCAACCGGGGAGGGUCAUUGGAAACUGGGGAACUUGAGUGCAGAAGAGGAGAGUGGAAUUCCACGUGUAGCGGUGAAAUGCGUAGAGAUGUGGAGGAACACCAGUGGCGAAGGCGACUCUCUGGUCUGUAACUGACGCUGAGGAGCGAAAGCGUGGGGAGCGAACAGGAUUAGAUACCCUGGUAGUCCACGCCGUAAACGAUGAGUGCUAAGUGUUAGGGGGUUUCCGCCCCUUAGUGCUGCAGCUAACGCAUUAAGCACUCCGCC